Molecule: ribosomal RNA, 1027 nt
Filed under: Lactiplantibacillus plantarum
Lineage: Bacteria; Bacillati; Bacillota; Bacilli; Lactobacillales; Lactobacillaceae
Description: bacterial SSU rRNA
Rfam family: Bacterial small subunit ribosomal RNA
Source: RNAcentral
UCAGGUAUUGACGGUAUUUAACCAGAAAGCCACGGCUAACUACGUGCCAGCAGCCGCGGUAAUACGUAGGUGGCAAGCGUUGUCCGGAUUUAUUGGGCGUAAAGCGAGCGCAGGCGGUUUUUUAAGUCUGAUGUGAAAGCCUUCGGCUCAACCGAAGAAGUGCAUCGGAAACUGGGAAACUUGAGUGCAGAAGAGGACAGUGGAACUCCAUGUGUAGCGGUGAAAUGCGUAGAUAUAUGGAAGAACACCAGUGGCGAAGGCGGCUGUCUGGUCUGUAACUGACGCUGAGGCUCGAAAGUAUGGGUAGCAAACAGGAUUAGAUACCCUGGUAGUCCAUACCGUAAACGAUGAAUGCUAAGUGUUGGAGGGUUUCCGCCCUUCAGUGCUGCAGCUAACGCAUUAAGCAUUCCGCCUGGGGAGUACGGCCGCAAGGCUGAAACUCAAAGGAAUUGACGGGGGCCCGCACAAGCGGUGGAGCAUGUGGUUUAAUUCGAAGCUACGCGAAGAACCUUACCAGGUCUUGACAUACUAUGCAAAUCUAAGAGAUUAGACGUUCCCUUCGGGGACAUGGAUACAGGUGGUGCAUGGUUGUCGUCAGCUCGUGUCGUGAGAUGUUGGGUUAAGUCCCGCAACGAGCGCAACCCUUAUUAUCAGUUGCCAGCAUUAAGUUGGGCACUCUGGUGAGACUGCCGGUGACAAACCGGAGGAAGGUGGGGAUGACGUCAAAUCAUCAUGCCCCUUAUGACCUGGGCUACACACGUGCUACAAUGGAUGGUACAACGAGUUGCGAACUCGCGAGAGUAAGCUAAUCUCUUAAAGCCAUUCUCAGUUCGGAUUGUAGGCUGCAACUCGCCUACAUGAAGUCGGAAUCGCUAGUAAUCGCGGAUCAGCAUGCCGCGGUGAAUACGUUCCCGGGCCUUGUACACACCGCCCGUCACACCAUGAGAGUUUGUAACACCCAAAGUCGGUGGGGUAACCUUUUAGGAACCAGCCGCCUAAGGUGGGACAGAUGAUUAGGGUGAAGUCG